RNAcentral lists this ribosomal RNA (484 nucleotides) under uncultured bacterium. RNAcentral describes it as "partial 16S ribosomal RNA". It matches the Rfam family "Bacterial small subunit ribosomal RNA", at positions 30 to 507 of the family's 1533-position model. The record is from RNAcentral.
AUUGAACGCUGGCGGCAGGCCUAACACAUGCAAGUCGAGCGGAUGAAGGGAGCUUGCUCCUGGAUUCAGCGGCGGACGGGUGAGUAAUGCCUAGGAAUCUGCCUGGUAGUGGGGGAUAACGUCCGGAAACGGGCGCUAAUUCCGCAUACGUCCUGAGGGAGAAAGUGGGGGAUCUUCGGACCUCACGCUAUCAGAUGAGCCUAGGUCGGAUUAGCUAGUUGGUGGGGUAAAGGCCUACCAAGGCGACGAUCCGUAACUGGUCUGAGAGGAUGAUCAGUCACACUGGAACUGAGACACGGUCCAGACUCCUACGGGAGGCAGCAGUGGGGAAUAUUGGACAAUGGGCGAAAGCCUGAUCCAGCCAUGCCGCGUGUGUGAAGAAGGUCUUCGGAUUGUAAAGCACUUUAAGUUGGGAGGAAGGGCAGUAAGUUAAUACCUUGCUGUCUUGACGUUACCAACAGAAUAAGCACCGGCUAACUUCGUG